This 241-nucleotide ribosomal RNA is filed under the name Sharpea azabuensis. RNAcentral describes it as "16S rRNA. Bacterial SSU". It matches the Rfam family "Bacterial small subunit ribosomal RNA", at positions 1 to 243 of the family's 1533-position model. The record is from RNAcentral. Lineage: Bacteria; Bacillati; Bacillota; Erysipelotrichia; Erysipelotrichales; Coprobacillaceae.
GACGAUGGAGAGUUUGAUCCUGGCUCAGGAUGAACGCUGGCGGCGUGCCUAAUACAUGCAAGUCGGACGGAGCGCUUCGGCGCUCAGUGGCGAACGGGUGAGUAGCACAUGGGCAACCUGCCCUUCAGAGGGGGACAACAGCUGGAAACGGCUGCUAAGACCGCAUAGGCGCGGACGGGACAUCCCGUCCACGUUAAACGUCCUUUCGGGGACGGCUGAAGGAUGGGCCUGUGGCGCAUUA